Molecule: ribosomal RNA, 213 nt
Filed under: Clostridioides difficile
Lineage: Bacteria; Bacillati; Bacillota; Clostridia; Peptostreptococcales; Peptostreptococcaceae
Description: partial 16S ribosomal RNA
Rfam family: Bacterial small subunit ribosomal RNA
Source: RNAcentral
UCUUGAAACUGGGAGACUUGAGUGCAGGAGAGGAGAGGGGAAUUCCUAGUGUAGCGGUGAAAUGCGUAGAUAUUAGGAGGAACACCAGUUGCGAAGGCGGCUCUCUGGACUGUAACUGACGCUGAGGAACGAAAGCGUGGGGAGCAAACAGGAUUAGAUACCCUGGUAGUCCACGCUGUAAACGAUGAGUACUAGGUGUCGGGGGUUACCCCC